RNAcentral lists this transfer RNA (85 nucleotides) under Felis catus (domestic cat). It matches the Rfam family "tRNA". From Rfam's summary of the family: Transfer RNA (tRNA) molecules are approximately 80 nucleotides in length. Their secondary structure includes four short double-helical elements and three loops (D, anti-codon, and T loops). Further hydrogen bonds mediate the characteristic L-shaped molecular structure. tRNAs have two regions of fundamental functional importance: the anti-codon, which is responsible for specific mRNA codon recognition, and the 3' end, to which the tRNAs corresponding amino acid is attached (by aminoacyl-tRNA synthetases). tRNAs cope with the degeneracy of the genetic code in two manners: having more than one tRNA (with a specific anti-codon) for a particular amino acid; and 'wobble' base-pairing, i.e. permitting non-standard base-pairing at the 3rd anti-codon position. Lineage: Eukaryota; Metazoa; Chordata; Mammalia; Carnivora; Felidae. The record is from Rfam by way of RNAcentral.
GCCUGGGUGGCUCAGUCGGUUGAGCGUCCGACUUCAGCUCAGGUCAUGAUCUCACAGUACGUGGGUUCAAGCCCCGCAUUGGGCU